Molecule: ribosomal RNA, 406 nt
Filed under: Enoploteuthis higginsi
Lineage: Eukaryota; Metazoa; Mollusca; Cephalopoda; Oegopsida; Enoploteuthidae
Description: partial 12S ribosomal RNA
Source: RNAcentral
CGCAUUAUAAAACCUAAUUCACAAAAACCCACUAUUUACAUGUAAUUUUUAUUACUACCAAGUCCACCUUCAUAAAUCAAUUACAUAAUUUAAUCCGAUUAAAAAUUAUAAAUUGUAGCUCACUUAAGCCUUUUUCAUUAGCUGCAUUUUGACUUGACAUUAUAACCAAUACGUUAUUAAGUUUUUUUCAAAAUUUUUACAAAAUAAACUGACGACAGCAAUACACAAACUGCUAAUAAUUCAAGAAAAAGUAAGUAUAAAAUGAGGAUUAUCAAAUUAACAAGCAAACUCCCCUGGAAGGAUAUAUAACACCGCCAAGCCUUUUAAGUUUUAAACACACAUAAGAAAUUAAAUACUCACAUUCAUGUUCGUACUACCUAAGUAAUAAAAUUUUUAAAAUAAAGAA